This 573-nucleotide ribosomal RNA is filed under the name uncultured eukaryote. RNAcentral describes it as "eukaryotic LSU rRNA". The stretch from base 182 to 335 matches the Rfam family "5.8S ribosomal RNA". The record is from RNAcentral.
AACAAGGUCUCCGUUGGUGAACCAGCGGAGGGAUCAUUAUCGAGUUAUUCAACUCCCAAACCCUAUGUGAACUUACCACUUGUUGCUUCGGCGCGCGCUUCGGCGCCGCCGAGGACACUUAAACUCUUUGUUUUUAUAAGCAUUUCUGAGUGGCCGAAAGGCAAAAAUACAAAUGAAUCAAAACUUUCAACAACGGAUCUCUUGGUUCUGGCAUCGAUGAAGAACGCAGCGAAAUGCGAUAAGUAAUGUGAAUUGCAGAAUUCAGUGAAUCAUCGAAUCUUUGAACGCACAUUGCGCCCGCCAGCAUUCUGGCGGGCAUGCCUGUUCGAGCGUCAUUUCAACCCUCGAGCCCGACUCUUUUGAGGACGGCUCGGCGUUGGGGGACGGCAGACUCCCCCCGGCAUCUCGCCGGGGACGCCGCCCCCGAAAUCUAGUGGCGGCCCUCCGAGGCGACCUCUGCGUAGUAACUUGUUCUCGCACCGGAAAGCUCAGAGCGGCCACGCCGUAAAACCCCAACUUUUUUCAGGUUGACCUCGAAUCAGGUAGGACUACCCGCUGAACUUAAGCAUAUCA